GAUGAACGCUAGCGGCAGGCCUAAUACAUGCAAGUCGGACGGGAUUGAGGAGCUUGCUUCUCAUGAGAGUGGCGCACGGGUGCGUAACACGUAUGUAACCUACCUUAAUCAGGGGGAUAGCCUCUCGAAAGAGAGAUUAACACCGCAUAACAUGAUGAGAUAGCAUUAUUUUAUCAUCAAAUAUUUAUAGGAUUAAGAUGGGCAUGCGGGACAUUAGCUAGUUGGCGGGGUAACGGCCCACCAAGGCGACGAUGUCUAGGGGAUCUGAGAGGAUGGCCCCCCACGCUGGUACUGAGACACGGACCAGACUCCUACGGGAGGCAGCAGUAAGGAAUAUUGGUCAAUGGGCGCAAGCCUGAACCAGCCAUGCCGCGUGCAGGAAGACGGCCCUACGGGUUGUAACCUGCUUUUGUACGGGAAUAAACCUUGAUACGUGUAUCAAGCUGAAUGUACUGUAAGAAUAAGGAUCGGCUAACUCCGUGCCAGCCGCCGCAGUAA
This 498-nucleotide ribosomal RNA is filed under the name uncultured bacterium. RNAcentral describes it as "partial 16S ribosomal RNA". It matches the Rfam family "Bacterial small subunit ribosomal RNA", at positions 28 to 523 of the family's 1533-position model. The record is from RNAcentral.